ACAAAAUAUAUAUAAUAAUAAAAUUAGUGAGUUACUAAUAUACAAAGAAAAGGCUCUUGUUAAGUUUAUAUAUAUAUAUGCGAGUUAAAACACUAGCAAAAUAUCUAUGUUUAAUUUAAAAGCAAAGUAACAUAGUACUGAAAUUAACAAUGAAACCAAAAGUGGACGAAGUAUUGCUUGUCGAUGAUACAAGUUCCGAUGAAGAGCAAGAGGCAGCAAAAAACAAUAUUAAAGUUCAAACUGAGACCGACGAAGAAUUGCUAUGUACAGAUAGAAAAAUUAACAAAGAUGUCAACACUUUAGCGUGUAUAAAUAGUGAAUCAGAUACAGAAGAUGAGGUCAAACUUUCUAAAAGUAAUAAGAAGGAUGUAGACACUUUAGUACACAUAGAUACUAGUGACAGUGAAUCAGAUUCGUAUCAUAAUUUGGACAAAGAAAAGCCAUCAACAUCAGGGGUUAGACGACGCCAUUUACCUUGUGAUAGUAGCAAUUCUAUGCAUUUAGAGGACCACAGUCCAAGCUUCCAUGUAAGAUCUCGCACUACAGCCAUAGAGAAUGUCCAAAGAAAUUCGAAUAGCAUAUAUGAAAGUUUAGAUUAUGAAGUAUGUGAAAAUAAACUUUACCGAAAUGCUCAAAGAAAAUCUCAAACUAGACGUUUUCAUCUUCAGAGAGAUAUUUUACGUUGGAUUAUUUUUAUAAAAAUUGGUGUAAUAACUGCAUUAGUAGCUUGUGUUAUUGACAUUAUAAUUGAAGCAUUAUCAACACGAAAAUACGAACUCCUCAAAAAAUCCGUUGAUGCAAAUGUACCUAUUUCCACUGGUAUGGGUGGGGAUUUAGUUAUACCAUACCUUUUAUGGAUGACUGUUAGUGUGAUACCUGUUGCACUGGGCGCUACUUUGGUAACAUAUAUAGAGCCUAUAACAGCUGGUAGUGGUAUACCACAGGUAAAAGCAUAUUUAAAUGGCGUCAAAAUACCAAGAAUUGUUCGGAUCAAAACACUAGCCGUAAAAGCCAUUGGUGUAAUCACAUCUGUUGUCGGUGGCUUAGCUGGCGGAAAGGAAGGACCAAUGAUACAUGCAGGUGCUGUUGUAGCUGCUGGUAUAUCGCAAGGAAAAAGUACAAGUUUUAAUAUUGAUAGCGGCAUAUAUCAAGCUUUCCGUAAUGACCAUGAGAAACGUGAUUUUGUUCUAGGAGGUAGCGCAGCUGGUGUAGCUGCUGCCUUCGGCUCUCCUAUAGGUGGAAUGUUAUUUUCACUUGAAGAAGCCGCUAGUUUCUGGAAUCAAAAUUUGAUUUGGCGUACUUUGAUUGCAUCGAUUAUUAGUUCAUUUACUUUAAAUAUUGUUUUAUCGGCUUAUCAUGGAUUAAAUAACUUCACUUUUACUGGAUUAUUUAACUUAGGUCAAUUCGAUCAACCGCUGACUUUUGAAUAUUUCGAAUUACCUAUAUUUUUAUUAUUGGGUGUAUCUUGCGGUCUAUUGGGCGCUAUUUGGAAUUCAAUAAAUACAAAAAUCAAUCGUUUUCGAAGUCGCUUUAUUAAAUUUAAGUUUGCUAAAGUUGUAGAAGCAGCAUUUGUUGCAUUAAUGGGAGUAACAUUAGCAUGCACAUCGAUUUAUUUUAUAAACGAUUGCCGACAGUUAGGAAAUGAUCCUACUGACUAUCCUGUGCAGUUGUUUUGUGAUGACAAUGAGUAUAAUGCAGUGGCUGCACUUUGGUUUCAAACGCCGGAAGCAACUGUCAGAGCACUUUUCCAUGAUCCUCCAGGCUCACAUAAAAUACUGACAUUAACUAUUUUUACAAUCAUAUAUUAUUUCCUAUCUUGCUUUACUUUCGGCUUAAAUGUUUCAUUGGGAGUAUUCAUACCAACUGCACUUGUAGGUGCUGCAUGGGGAAGACUUGUUGCAGCUAUAUUUUACUAUCUCUUCCCACAAGCUCACUUUUUAAAUCCCGGAAAGUAUGCGUUAAUCGGAGCUGCGGCAAAUUUGGGUGGCGUACUUCGUAUGACAAUAAGUCUUUCCGUUAUUUUAAUGGAAACAACUGGAGUUGAAACUUCAUUCUUUUUCCCGCUCAUUUUAACGCUCAUAAGCGCUAAAUGGGUAGGCGACUAUUUUAAUGAUGGCCUUUAUGAUAUACAAGUAAAAAUCAAUAAUGUCCCGAUGUUGCCAUGGGAACCACAACCCAAAUAUAUGGGUUUAAAAGCAGCGCAAAUUAUGAGCUCACCAGUGAUCUGCUUUCGCUUACGCGAGAAUGCCAAAUAUGUUUUUGAUGUUUUAAAGAAGUGCAAUCAUAAUGGAUUUCCAAUUGUGGAAGAUGUGAAUGAAAGAGAACGUACACGUGGUCGAGUAAGUGGGAUUAUAUUGCGUUCUCAAUUGAUUGUCAUAUUACUAAAGUCACUUUAUGACGAAAAGAAGAGGUUUUGGCAAAAAGAAACCACAAUACAAACAUUUACAAAUCUUUAUCCACGGUUUCCGUCUAUUAAUGAUUUCAAAAUGAAUGACGAUUAUGUCGACUUCACCAUUAAUUUUGACAUAUUUAUGAAUCCGUCACCAGUGCGCGUCAGUGAGCAUGACUCAGUUCCUAAAAUAUUCAACAAAUUUCGCGCGCUUGGUUUGAGACAUAUGAUAGUCAUCGAUAGAGAAAAUCGUGUGUCCGGUAUUAUAACCCGAAAGGAUUUCUUAUACAAAUAGAUAAUCGCAUAAGAUAAAAAUUUAUUUUAAAUAUUCGUUUAUAAGUUAUUCAUUUAUAAAAUCAUCACCCCUACUCUGAAUGAUAUAUCAAUGGCAGUUUUUUCCCUAUUCCCACUUCCCUUAUUCUGAAUAAAAGGGGAAUGGAAAUUUUUUCCCUAUUUCCGAGCAAGAAGAUUAGAAGUAAAAAAGUUAAAAGGAGUUUAAUUUAAUAUGAGACAGCUGUAAUAAGCGAUGUAAGCGAUUCAGAAUAGGGGAAUUCGAUUCGAUGGAAAAGUGUAUUUUGGGAAAAACUUAUUAGUUGCGAAAAUUCAAAAUAGGGGUUGAAUAACACAUCACUCAAUAAGUCGUGUGACUAACUAAGAAAAACAAAUUCUUUCUGCCAAACCUUCAAGGACAAUACAAUUAUUCCAACGCUUCUCUAAGUUCUCGACGUCGUGCUUGUAGAACGAUUUGUCUUUUACCUCAAAAUAGGCUUCAGUUUCAGCAAUUACUUCAUUUAAGAUGAAUUUCUUACCGGCGAGCAUU
Molecule: RNA transcript, 3209 nt
Organism: Teleopsis dalmanni
Lineage: Eukaryota; Metazoa; Arthropoda; Insecta; Diptera; Diopsidae
Gene: ClC-b
Gene name: H(+)/Cl(-) exchange transporter 7
Source: RefSeq, a predicted model, not a curated record